CUUAAAUAAGUACUAUUGAUUUUAAAAUAGUACUCCUCCUUUUGAACACACAUUUGAAUAGAGAAUAUUUUCUAGAAAUGUUGUUAUGCAUAACACCAAUAUCAGAUUUAUCAUUUAUAAGUUAUAACAGAUUAAAGUUUAGGCAGGAGGACUAGGGAAGGAUAAUAAAUUGACUGUUUAUUAAAAUUAAAAAAAAAGUUUAAAGGAUUAUAAUGAUUAGAAAAUACACAAAUCAAAUUCACUUAAAAUCCCCAGAGAUAAUUAUUGUUUCGUAAUAAAAAAAAAUCGCCUUAUAUAGAAGCAUGCAUGAUUGUUAAUUUUUAUAACAAAAUAUGUUAAUUAUUGUUGUAUAUAAGUAUGCAAUAAUAUAUUUAUAUAAUAAUAAAAAUCACUUUUAGGCACUAAAAAAUAUGAUAAAAAUAGUAAAUCUCCAUGAAUAUUAUUUUGUAUUACGUUUUUACAUACAGAGGUGGCCAAAAGUCACACAACAAAUUUGCAACACAAUUUGUAAUAGUAAAAAAAAUUGUUUAUUUCUUCAAAUAAAAAAAAAUGAUAUAAAAAUGAACAUUACAAAGUAACAUCAUCUCAGGGCAAUUAUAAUAAAUAUUCAAAAUGAUGUCCUCCAGCUUCAAUAACUGCUCCACAACGUUUUUUGUGGCGUUUUAAAGAUACAAAUAAUCGGUGCUCAAAAUUUGGAAUUAUUCCUCGAUUCGCUUUUUUAAAUGGAUCAAAUUUUAGAUUGGCAUCUUGUAUACUCGAUCUUUGAUAAUUCCCCACAUGCUAAAAUCACAAGGUGUGAAAUUGGGUAAUUUUGGUGACCAUUCCCACAGCCACCAAUCCACUUGAAGUUUUUAUUCAAAAAAUCACGAACGACAACCGCAUAAUGGCAUGGGGCUCUAUCUUGUUGCUAGAUAAUUCGCUUACCACAGAAGAUAUCAUUUUUGUAUGUAAACAAGAUAACGAGACCAAAGUUGCUAUAUGGAGGGAGAAACUGCAUACAGGCGUUGAGCGACUUUAGCCACCUCUGUACAUUGUAAGAAAACUAUUAAAUGAGUGCAAAAUAAUAAGUUUGGUAAAAUUGUAUAAAUAAAACAUUUAAUAUAAAAAAUCUAUGAGAGCUAAUCAAUAAGUAUCAAGACUGAUAAUAUUACUCUAAAGGUAUUCUUGUAGAAUCUCCAUAAAUUUCUUCGUUUUGAUUCCACAAUAUUUUUCACGUUUUCACGCGAAACUUUCUACCACAUCUGCAGUUUUUCAAUUGAAAUUUAUUGACAUAAAUCAUAAAAUGUUACAUCUCUCUGAAACUGAAAAAAAUGCAGACUAUAACUAUCAAUUCGCUCUUCCUUUGGAUUCAUUAUAAAAUUGCUAAACUCUUAAAACAUAUUUUACAAAAAUAUUGAUGAAAUCGAACUGAAAAUUACUAUAGAGAAUUAAUAAAAACAAAUGUACUCAGAAAGUCAUAGAAGUUAAUGAUACCAAUCCUACAGAUCUUUGAUUCUCGAUUUUUGGGUGUUACUACCAGUCUACAUACUUUUUGAUUAACGCAUUAUUUUGUAGGUAUAUAAUAUUUACUUGUGUUUAUAUAAACUAUAAUCAGUAAC
Cinara cedri is the source of this 1598-nucleotide non-coding RNA. The record is from the annotation of a GenBank genome assembly. NCBI's taxonomy places the organism in Eukaryota, Metazoa, Arthropoda, Insecta, Hemiptera, Aphididae.